CAACAGGGAUUGCCCUAGUAACGGCGAGUGAAGCGGCAACAGCUCAAAUUUGAAAUCUGGCUCUUUCAGGGUCCGAGUUGUAAUUUGCAGAGGGCGCUUUGGUGUUGGCAGCGGUCCAAGUUCCUUGGAACAGGACGUCACAGAGGGUGAGAAUCCCGUACGUGGUCGCUAGCCUUCGCCGUGUAAAGCCCCUUCGACGAGUCGAGUUGUUUGGGAAUGCAGCUCUAAAUGGGAGGUAAAUUUCUUCUAAAGCUAAAUACUGGCCAGAGACCGAUAGCGCACAAGUAGAGUGAUCGAAAGAUGAAAAGCACUUUGGAAAGAGAGUCAAAUAGCACGUGAAAUUGUUGAAAGGGAAGCGCUUGCAGCCAGACUUGCCUGUAGUUGCUCAUCCGGGCUUUUGCCCGGUGCACUCUUCUGCGGGCAGGCCAGCAUCAGUUUGGGCGGUUGGAUAAAGGUCUCUGUCAUGUACCUCUCUUCGGGGAGGCCUUAUAGGGGAGACGACAUGCAACCAGCCUGGACUGAGGUCCGCGCAUUUGCUAGGAUGCUGGCGUAAUGGCUGUAAGCGGCCCGUCUUGAAACACGGACCAAGGAGUCUAACAUCUAUGCGAGUGUUUGGGUGUCAAGCCCGAACGCGUAAUGAAAGUGAACGGAGGUGGGAACCCUUUAGGGUGCACCAUCGACCGAUCCUGAUGUCUUCGGAAGGAUUUGAGUAAGAGCAUGGCUGUUGGGACCCGAAAGAUGGUGAACUAUGCUUGAAUAGGGUGAAGCCAGAGGAAACUCUGGUGGAGGCUCGCAGCGGUUCUGACGUGCAAAUCGAUCGUCAAAUUUGGGCAUAGGGGCGAAAGACUAAUCGAACUAUCUA
Molecule: ribosomal RNA, 862 nt
Filed under: Sphaerellopsis artemisiae
Lineage: Eukaryota; Fungi; Ascomycota; Dothideomycetes; Pleosporales; Leptosphaeriaceae
Description: Sphaerellopsis sp. MD-2020a partial large subunit ribosomal RNA
Rfam family: Eukaryotic large subunit ribosomal RNA
Source: RNAcentral